UGGGGAAUAUUGCACAAUGGGCGAAAGCCUGAUGCAGCAACGCCGCGUGAGUGAUGAAGGCCUUCGGGCUGUAAAGCUCUGUCUUUUGGGACGAUAAUGACGGUACCAAAGGAGGAAGCCACGGCUAACUACGUGCCAGCAGCCGCGGUAAUACGUAGGUGGCAAGCGUUGUCCGGAUUUACUGGGCGUAAAGGAUGCGUAGGCGGAUUUUUAAGUGAGAUGUGAAAUACCCGGGCUUAACUUGGGUGCUGCAUUUCAAACUGGGAAUCUAGAGUGCGGGAGAGGAGAAUGGAAUUCCUAGUGUAGCGGUGAAAGUGCGUAGAGAUUAGGAAGAACACCAGUGGCGAAGGCGAUUCUCUGGACCGUAACUGACGCUGAGGCAUGAAAGCGUGGGUAGCAAACAGGAUUAGAUACCCUGGUAGUCCACGCCGUAAACGAUGAGUACUAGGUGUAGGAGGUAUCGACCCCUUCUGUGCCGCAGUUAACACAAUCAAGUACUCCGCCUGGGAAGUACGAUCGCAAGAUUAAAA
Molecule: ribosomal RNA, 530 nt
Filed under: uncultured bacterium
Lineage: Bacteria
Description: partial 16S ribosomal RNA
Rfam family: Bacterial small subunit ribosomal RNA
Source: RNAcentral